GACGAACGCUGGCGGCGUGCCUAAUACAUGCAAGUAGAACGCUGAAGGAGGAGCUUGCUUCUCUGGAUGAGUUGCGAACGGGUGAGUAACGCGUAGGUAACCUGCCUGGUAGCGGGGGAUAACUAUUGGAAACGAUAGCUAAUACCGCAUAACAGUAGAUAUCGCAUGAUAUCUACUUGAAAGGUGCAAUUGCAUCACUACCAGAUGGACCUGCGUUGUAUUAGCUAGUCGGUGAGGUAACGGCUCACCAAGGCGACGAUACAUAGCCGACCUGAGAGGGUGAUCGGCCACACUGGGACUGAGACACGGCCCAGACUCCUACGGGAGGCAGCAGUAGGGAAUCUUCGGCAAUGGACGGAAGUCUGACCGAGCAACGCCGCGUGAGUGAAGAAGGUUUUCGGAUCGUAAAGCUCUGUUGUAAGAGAAGAACGAGUGUGAGAGUGGAAAGUUCACACUGUGACGGUAUCUUACCAGAAAGGGACGGCUAACUACGUG
This 495-nucleotide ribosomal RNA is filed under the name uncultured bacterium. Its description in RNAcentral is "partial 16S ribosomal RNA". It matches the Rfam family "Bacterial small subunit ribosomal RNA", at positions 28 to 507 of the family's 1533-position model. The record is from RNAcentral.